GAUGAACGCUGGCGGCGUGCCUAAUACAUGCAAGUCGAGCGAACAGACGAGGAGCUUGCUCCUCUGACGUUAGCGGAGGACGGGUGAGUAACACGUGGAUAACCUACUUAUAAGACUGGGAUAACUUCGGGACUCCGGCGCUAAUCCCGGAUAAUCUCUUGAUCCGCAUGGGUCAAUAGUGAAUGACGGCUUUGCUGUAUCUUCUCGAUGGUUCCGCGCCGCAUUAGCUAGUUGGUAAGGUCACGGCUUACCAAGGCAACGAUGCGUAGCCGACGUGAGAGAGUGGUCGGCCGCACUGGAACGUGGACACGGUCCAGACUCCUACGAGAGGCAGCAGUAGGGAAUCGUCCGCAGUGGUCGAAAGCCUGACGGAGCAACGCCGCGUGAGAUAUGAAGGUCUUCGGAUCGUAAUACUCUGUUAUUAGGUAAGAACAAAUGUGUAAGUAACUAUGCACUUCGUGACGGUACCUAGUCAGAAAGCCACGGCUAACUACGUG
Molecule: ribosomal RNA, 497 nt
Filed under: uncultured bacterium
Lineage: Bacteria
Description: partial 16S ribosomal RNA
Rfam family: Bacterial small subunit ribosomal RNA
Source: RNAcentral